Ictalurus punctatus (channel catfish) is the source of this 594-nucleotide long non-coding RNA. NCBI's taxonomy places the organism in Eukaryota, Metazoa, Chordata, Actinopteri, Siluriformes, Ictaluridae. The record is from Ensembl.
GUUUGUUAGAAAAACCACUUUCCUUUGCUCCUAGCGCCUUCUCGUUCGCUCUAUAGCGUUUUGAGCGGAUAAAGAGCACAAGUGUGUAUGGGGACACGGAAUGAAUGGGAAUUAGUUUUGUUAUUGUACUUUUGAUGAAAACUGACUUUCUAGACAUAAAAUGUCACUUUUUUCACCUUAUCAUACUUUAUCAUCAACUUUUGCAUUUUAAGGUAACAAUCAUAUUUCGUAAUAUUUUGUGUCAGAAACAUUUCAUAGUACUAUAUUAUGUCUAACUAUGUGAAAAAAAUCAAAUUGGAGUAGGUCGGGCAACUGAUUAUAUAAGUUUGUUAGAAAAACCACUUUCCUUUGCUCCUAGCGCCUUCUCGUUCGCUGUAUAGCGUUUUGAGCGGAUAAAGAGCACAAGUGUGCAUGGAGACACAGGAUGAAUGGGAACAAGUUUUGUUAUUGCACUUUUGAUGAAAAGUGACUUUCUAGACAUAAAAUGUCACUUUUUUCACCUUAUCAUACUUUUUCAUCAACUUUUGCAUUUUAAUGUAAACAAUCAUAUUUCGUAAUAUUUUGGGUCAGAAACAUUUCAUAGUACUAUAUUAU